This 426-nucleotide ribosomal RNA is filed under the name uncultured bacterium. Its description in RNAcentral is "bacterial SSU rRNA". It matches the Rfam family "Bacterial small subunit ribosomal RNA", at positions 30 to 461 of the family's 1533-position model. The record is from RNAcentral.
AUUGAACGCUGGCGGAAUGCUUUACACAUGCAAGUCGAACGGCAGCACGGGGCAACCUGGUGGCGAGUGGCGAACGGGUGAGUAAUACAUCGGAACGUGCCCAAUCGUGGGGGAUAACGUAGCGAAAGUUACGCUAAUACCGCAUACGAUCUACGGAUGAAAGCGGGGAUCGCAAGACCUCGCGCGAAUGGAGCGGCCGAUGUCAGAUUAGGUAGUUGGUGGGGUAAAGGCUCACCAAGCCAACGAUCUGUAGCUGGUCUGAGAGGACGACCAGCCACACUGGAACUGAGACGCGGUCCAGACUCCUACGGGAGGCAGCAGUGGGGAAUUUUGGACAAUGGGCGCAAGCCUGAUCCAGCCAUUCCGCGUGCAGGAUGAAGGCCUCGGUUGUAACUAGCUUUUGUACGGUAACGAAACGGACGAGCU